This 293-nucleotide long non-coding RNA is filed under the name Carica papaya (papaya). RNAcentral's name for it is "long non-coding RNA (CPAP_LNC010089)". Lineage: Eukaryota; Viridiplantae; Streptophyta; Magnoliopsida; Brassicales; Caricaceae. The record is from RNAcentral.
AUAUCUAUAAUCACGACAUUACUUAACCACGGGUGACCCCUACUGAUAGUACAAUACCACUCUCAUCAGAGGGUACGUCGUCAUCCACUAGGAGUGGUCCUCUUACGUCUUUCCAGACUAAAUAGGGAAGGGAGAAAUAGAUACCUCGAACGAUAAGGGGAAUAGAUACCCCUCAGAGAUAAAAAGUCUAACGGGACACUUGAUGCAAUAUGCAUAUCAAUACAGAUACACUUCGGACCAUACAGGUUUCAUUUCACUUUUCUCUUUUUCUUUUCUUUUAUACUUUUUACUUU